Molecule: ribosomal RNA, 395 nt
Filed under: uncultured bacterium
Lineage: Bacteria
Description: partial 16S ribosomal RNA
Rfam family: Bacterial small subunit ribosomal RNA
Source: RNAcentral
AUACGUAGGGUGCAAGCGUUAAUCGGAAUUACUGGGCGUAAAGCGUGCGCAGGCGGCUUUGUAAGGCAGAGGUGAAAUCCCCGGGGUCAACCUGGGGACUGCCUUUGGGGAGGGAGGGCAAGUGUACGGCAGAGGGGGAUGGAAUUCCGGGUGGCGGAGCGAAAUGCGUAGAUAUGGGGAGGAACACCGAUGGCGAAGGCAAUCCCCUGGGCCUGUACUGACGCUCAUGCACGAAAGCGUGGGGAGCAAACAGGAUUAGAUACCCUGGUAGUCCACGCCCUAAACGAUGUCAACUGGUUGUUGGGUCUUCAUUGACUCAGUAACGAAGCUAACGCGUGAAGUUGACCGCCUGGGGAGUACGGCCGCAAGGUUGAAACUCAAAUGAAUUGACGGGG